GAUGAACGCUGGCGGCGUGCCUAAUACAUGCAAGUCGAGCGAACGGACGAGAAGCUUGCUUCUCUGAUGUUAGCGGCGGACGGGUGAGUAACACGUGGAUAACCUACCUAUAAGACUGGGAUAACUUCGGGAAACCGGAGCUAAUACCGGAUAAUAUUUUGAACCGCAUGGUUCAAAAGUGAAAGACGGUCUUGCUGUCACUUAUAGAUGGAUCCGCGCUGCAUUAGCUAGUUGGUAAGGUAACGGCUUACCAAGGCAACGAUGCAUAGCCGACCUGAGAGGGUGAUCGGCCACACUGGAACUGAGACACGGUCCAGACUCCUACGGGAGGCAGCAGUAGGGAAUCUUCCGCAAUGGGCGAAUGCCUGAAGGAGCAACGCCGCGUGAGUGAUGAAGGUCUUCGGAUCGUAAAACUCUGUUAUUAGGGAAGAACAUAUGUGUAAGUAACUGUGCACAUCUUGACGGUACCUAAUCAGAAAGCCACGGCUAACUACGUG
RNAcentral lists this ribosomal RNA (497 nucleotides) under uncultured bacterium. Its description in RNAcentral is "partial 16S ribosomal RNA". It matches the Rfam family "Bacterial small subunit ribosomal RNA", at positions 28 to 507 of the family's 1533-position model. The record is from RNAcentral.